UACGGGGGGGGCAAGCGUUGUUCGGAAUUACUGGGCGUAAAGGGCUCGUAGGCGGCCAACUAAGUCAGACGUGAAAUCCCCAGGCUUAACCUGGGAACUGCGUCUGAUACUGGAUGGCUUGAAUUCGGGAGAGGGAUGCAGAAUUCCAGGUGUAGCGGUGAAAUGCGUAGAUAUCUGGAGGAAUACCGGUGGCGAAGGCGGCAUCCUGGACCGCCAUUGACGCUGAGGAGCGAAAGCUAGGGGAGCAAACGGG
RNAcentral lists this ribosomal RNA (253 nucleotides) under uncultured bacterium. RNAcentral describes it as "partial 16S ribosomal RNA". It matches the Rfam family "Bacterial small subunit ribosomal RNA", at positions 524 to 776 of the family's 1533-position model. The record is from RNAcentral.